This 73-nucleotide transfer RNA is filed under the name Camelus bactrianus (Bactrian camel). It matches the Rfam family "tRNA". Rfam says of the family: Transfer RNA (tRNA) molecules are approximately 80 nucleotides in length. Their secondary structure includes four short double-helical elements and three loops (D, anti-codon, and T loops). Further hydrogen bonds mediate the characteristic L-shaped molecular structure. tRNAs have two regions of fundamental functional importance: the anti-codon, which is responsible for specific mRNA codon recognition, and the 3' end, to which the tRNAs corresponding amino acid is attached (by aminoacyl-tRNA synthetases). tRNAs cope with the degeneracy of the genetic code in two manners: having more than one tRNA (with a specific anti-codon) for a particular amino acid; and 'wobble' base-pairing, i.e. permitting non-standard base-pairing at the 3rd anti-codon position. Lineage: Eukaryota; Metazoa; Chordata; Mammalia; Artiodactyla; Camelidae. The record is from Rfam by way of RNAcentral. RNAcentral also lists the same sequence under 2 other names.
GUGGGUAUAGCUCACGUGGCAGAGUGCAUGCUCAGCAUGCAAGAGGUCCUGGGUUCAAACCCCAGUACCGCCA